ACUCCUGCGGGAGGCAGCAGUGGGGAAUUUUGGACAAUGGGCGAAAGCCUGAUCCAGCAAUGCCGCGUGAGUGAAGAAGGCCUUCGGGUUGUAAAGCUCUUUUGUCAGGGAAGAAACGGUGAAAGCUAAUAUCUUUUGCUAAUGACGGUACCUGAAGAAUAAGCACCGGCUAACUACGUGCCAGCAGCCGCGGUAAUACGUAGGGUGCAAGCGUUAAUCGGAAUUACUGGGCGUAAAGCGUGCGCAGGCGGUUUUGUAAGUCUGAUGUGAAAUCCCCGGGCUCAACCUGGGAAUUGCAUUGGAGACUGCAAGGCUAGAAUCUGGCAGAGGGGGGUAGAAUUCCACGUGUAGCAGUGAAAUGCGUAGAUAUGUGGAGGAACACCGAUGGCGAAGGCAGCCCCCUGGGUCAAGAUUGACGCUCAUGCACGAAAGCGUGGGGAGCAAACAGGAUUAGAAACCCUUGUAGUCCCAUGA
This 474-nucleotide ribosomal RNA is filed under the name uncultured organism. RNAcentral's name for it is "partial 16S ribosomal RNA". It matches the Rfam family "Bacterial small subunit ribosomal RNA", at positions 335 to 800 of the family's 1533-position model. The record is from RNAcentral.